Molecule: long non-coding RNA, 1231 nt
Filed under: Homo sapiens (human)
Lineage: Eukaryota; Metazoa; Chordata; Mammalia; Primates; Hominidae
Description: HSALNT0323628
Source: RNAcentral
CCACUUACACCUGAGUGAGGAUGGGAAGAAGAGAAGACAAGGACGAAUGUAGGAAACUGUCAGUUAAAUGACAAUGUAUGGAUGGCAAGAGAGAAAGAAUAGUCAGUGAUGGAAAAAUAAUCAAUAACAGCUUUGGGCUUUUGAGUUUGAAAAUGGUGUGUAGGGUGAGACAACAAUAGGAAACUUCUAAUAAAGAAUGAACAAGUACUUCUACUUGUUCAAUGAAUGUGAAUCUGGUACAUACAUUUGAUCCUUAAAAUAUUCUCACUAAACUGGUAUCAUUUAAUGGAACUGUUUAAUGUUAUCCUGGGCAAGUUACUUACUCAAUUUGCCUUAGCAUCUCAUCUGCAAAAUGUGGAUGAGUACCUACCCCCCAGGGUUAUGUCAAAAAUUAGAUAAGAUGAAAAGUAAGUUAUAGUAUUAGAAUGGCACCCAAUACAUAGUUUGGAAUUUUUUAAAAUGUCAGCUAUUAUGAUGAUAACAAUGGUGGCUUACAAGACCUUUGACCAUCUGGCUUCCCUCUCCAAGCAUGCCAAAUUAAUCACACUUCUUAAACACAUCUCUUGACCGGGGUGUUCUCACCAUGCCCUUUCUACAAACAAAAAGUCCUACAAGAGUUGGAGCCAUCCUCUCCUCAUCUUCUACUUUCUGCCUUCUUCUGGGACACGCUAUUGAUCACGAAGUAUCUUAUCCUUGAAAAAUCUCCUCUCUUCAACUCGAGUACUACUGCAGAAAGCAGCAACUUGGCGGCCUUUUAUGGAUGGGUGUUACUGAAUAAAGAAUGAAGAUGUGGAGACCUGGAGACAGGUGGCACCUCGUGCUUCCUCCGAAGGGAGAGCCCAUUUCCUAACAGCUGGAUCAAAGGCAUGAAAUGAACAUGGAGUCCCUGAAGAUGAAGAGAAGGCAUGGCUUCCAGGGAGAAAUUGUACAUUACAGGAAUGCAGAUGUGAUUCCUAUGGAUGAGGGUAACCUAGAGGCUAGAAGAACAAUAGGACAGAAGAAGCCUGGGUCCCUGAACAACCUUGUGGAGCAUAGACACCUACGUGGCCUGGACUGCCAGCUCACAAUGGGCCUCUCUGUGAGAGAAGGAAACUUCCCUCUUGUUUAAGCAACUGUGCUUUUGAGAAUCUCUUGGUCUAUACCCUAAUGAAUAAGGCCAUCAUAAAUGGAUAUCAAAGUAAGGAAAUUUGUGUAAAUGAUUUAAUAAAACAUUACCUCAGGUAUGAAAUAA